This is a long non-coding RNA of Gossypium raimondii (Peruvian cotton), 1984 nucleotides long. RefSeq lists it as uncharacterized. NCBI's taxonomy places the organism in Eukaryota, Viridiplantae, Streptophyta, Magnoliopsida, Malvales, Malvaceae. The transcript has 2 exons. The record is from RefSeq and is a predicted model, not a curated record.
UUGAGCUCCUAAACCCUAAAUUUGCUUUGUAACGUCCCUUCACCAUCGCCAUAUCUUUUGGCUUCAAAAUAUAUAGACGAACUAGAAAUCUCUCGAGCUUUCUCUUGCCUUACUUCUUCUUAAUUAAAUCCUUACCAAUGAAUGGCUUCAUUUCUUACGUUUUACUUUUCGGCAGCUGGCACUUCUCUUCUCUACCUGUACUGCGUGUGAUUUUUCAUUUACUCUGAUCUGUACAAGAUGAUCAACAGAAACAAUGGGGAUUUUGUUACAUAUGCUAUGAUGGACCUCUAACAGCUUGAGAGCGUGACAAUUUCACGCGAACGAAUUUCUAUUUUUACUCGAUGAUAACUGGGUGAACUCUAUGUCGGAUAAAGGCAAAAUAAUGUAACGGUGAAGAUGUUUUCGAUAAGUUCCUUUGCUUCUUUUCUGGCUUCGGCUAACAUAGAGUUCACCUGGCUAUCAUCGGGUAACAAUGGAGGUUGUUUAACUUCUUAAACAGUGGGUCAAUUCGUGUGGUUCAAAUGUCACUCUCUCAUGCUGUUUAAGGUACUUUAUAGGUUGAUCUAAUCUCAAAGACAUUGAUCAAGAAUUUCAAGGGUGAGUUAAAGGACACUUCUUUAGCAGAAGCUGAGACAAAGCAGAGAUUGCUCGAAAACACCCGAAGUUCGAACAAUUCGAUCAAUAAUAGAAGAUAAUGUUUACAAAUCUAAUCAGUGGUAAUGAUUUGCAAGUGUUUAGUUUAUUUUGGCAUUUUCUAUAUCUUUUUGAUCAUGUUCUUUCUUUCUUUUUUUUAAUUGAUAUUUCUGACAGAUAUAUUUUAGGGUUUUGUUUUGUUUUGUUUGCUUUUUAAUGUUAAUUAAAAAACCCAUCUUCUUCGCAGCUUCCUACUUUCAAAAGUCUGAACCUUUAACCCUAGUUUACUAAUGUAAGUUACUUUUUUUAGGAAAAAAUAAAGGAGCAAAAAGUUCAACCAUUUCUGCUUUGUUUCUCUUAGUUCUUUUCAACCUAGUUUGACUUUAUUUUAUGGCAUUGGCUUCAACUUUUGUCUGCUUCUUUCUUUAUUAUUAUGAUUUUUUACAUAAUUAUGUUAGUGUGCAAAUCGCUUUCUUUGGGUUGUGAUUUUUGAAGUGUGUUAAGGUCUGGGUUUUAGAUGUGGAAGAUGCUUUGUCUUAAAGGUUGGUGAGUGUGUGGACCUGGUUUUUAGUUUCCCAUCUCCUUUACAUCUUUAACAUGACGCCUUUUUCUUCGUUUCCGUGGUUUGGUAAGCUCUAAAACAGCUUGCAUUUUUGUCUCUUUUCCUUUCAACUUCUCACCUCUUCCCAAUUUUCCACUCUUAAUCUUUGUAAUUUCUUCAUUGCUUUUUUCGCUACUUACUUUCUCUAACUUUGGCGCUUCAUUUUUUUCAUGUCUAGAUUCAAAGUGCUUUGCUUGUAAACGCUAAAUGCAUCUCCUUGGUUUGUUUUCUGGCUCAAUUCCCUGAUCUUUUGCAUGCAUCUUUGAAUUUUAACUUGGAAAACCAUCAAAUAUGUUCUAAGAUCUAUAUGCUUUUCAGCUGGUUUAUUUUCACCCAAUUUAGAGCUCUUUUUUAGUUAAAAUUUUUUGUUUGAAAGUUGAUUUUGAAAGCAAAAUCUGUAUAGAUUUCAUUUUGGUCAUUUGUUUUUCCUUGUUACUAUUUAUCUCUUUUUUUUUUUUUUCUUAAUUAUUGUGUGUGCAUGUGGCAAGGGCAAGAAAUGACAAAUAGCACUGUAAGUCAUAAUCAUGCAGCUCCAAAAUGGGACCCUUAAAAACCAUAUGGAUAUGAUGAAGAUGAAGGAUAGAGAAGCUGUUUGCGAGAAAAAAGCUGAUUUAGCGCUUUGUUGAUGCCGUGGAGAUGAGCACUCAAGACAAAGGGAGAACAACUUUCGGUUAAAAUCGAGAUAACUAUUUAACAGUUUGAACAAUUUGUGUGAUUUUUUUAUUAGUAAUUUUUUCAACCAUUUUAAAA